GAUGAACGCUGGCGGCGUGCCUAAUACAUGCAAGUCGAGCGAACAGACGAGGAGCUUGCUCCUCUGACGUUAGCGGCGGACGGGUGAGUAACACGUGGAUAACCUACCUAUAAGACUGGGAUAACUUCGGGAAACCGGAGCUAAUACCGGAUAAUAUAUUGAACCGCAUGGUUCAAUAGUGAAAGACGGUUUUGCUGUCACUUAUAGAUGGAUCCGCGCCGCAUUAGCUAGUUGGUACGGUAACGGCUUACCAAGGCAACGAUGCGUAGCCGACCUGAGAGGGUGAUCGGCCACACGGGAACUGAGACACGGUCCAGACUCCUACGGGAGGCAGCAGUAGGGAAUCUUCCGCAAUGGGCGAAAGCCUGACGGAGCAACGCCGCGUGAGUGCUGAAGGUCUUCGGAUCGUAAAACUCUGUUAUUAGGGAAGAACAAAUGUGUAAGUAACUAUGCACGUCUUGACGGUACCUAAUCAGAAAGCCACGGCUAACUACGUG
Molecule: ribosomal RNA, 497 nt
Filed under: uncultured bacterium
Lineage: Bacteria
Description: partial 16S ribosomal RNA
Rfam family: Bacterial small subunit ribosomal RNA
Source: RNAcentral